RNAcentral lists this microRNA (23 nucleotides) under Ovis aries (sheep). RNAcentral's name for it is "oar-miR-543-3p". Its record names the gene oar-miR-543-3p. The record is from miRBase by way of RNAcentral. Lineage: Eukaryota; Metazoa; Chordata; Mammalia; Artiodactyla; Bovidae. RNAcentral also lists the same sequence under 1 other name.
AAACAUUCGCGGUGCACUUCUUU